UGACCGCGGCCCCGCGGCCCCGCCCUGCCGUCUCGCCCGUCCCGCCCGCACUCGCACGUCCCACCUCCUCCUCUCCCUCUCUCGAUCUCCUCUGUGAACCCUAACCCCGCGCUCGCACGCUCGCCCUCUCGCCUCCGCCUCUGCUCAUCCUCGCGUUGCUGCCUCCGCCUCUGCUAGCCCUCGCGCCGCCGCCACCGCCUCUGCCUCUGCUCGCCCUCGCGCCGCCGCCUCCGCCUCUGCUCGCCCUCGCGCCGACGCCUCCACCUCUGCUCGCCCUCGCGCCGUCGGGCCGUUUCCUCCUCCACGCCCCCUUGGUGCUCAUUAGGAAAAGCGCGGCUCGGCGUCGGCCCUCGCGAGUGAGGUAGGACGCGCGCAGGAGGGAGCGGCGGAGCAAGGUGGGGCCGGUCGAGGUCUCUGUCAAUCUGCUGUUGUGGUCAUCGAUUUGCAGAUUUGUCGGGUGUUGCCGGUGCCUCCUUUGAUCUGACCCGGUUGCGUCUUCGUUCAUGGAUCUGAGUUUGGGAGAGAUACAACAGAGAAGACCACCAGAGAAACGGUCGUCCCGAACCCAGACUAUCAUUGCUAUACUUGGUGAGCUCUAGAGGGAUAUCUGGUUUGUUUAUGUCUUGGAUUGGAGCAGCGACGCAAGUAGGGAGAGAUCGUUGCCUGGACUGCUUCUACUCUCAUCAUCGUGGCUUGCAGGUCGCCACCGUCACAAAUGUUACUUUUCAUUUACAUUCACAUGAUGUUGUAGUGUUCCAGGCAUGAAAACGAUAAAAUAUUGUGGCCGGCUGCCACCGACCGACUCGAGCUCGCUUCAGCCUCCUCCUACGAUCCUGCAGCUACUACCUCCCCAAGCAAAGUCAACCUACAGCAACAAGGAUUACAAAAAGGUGUGGAGGCCGGCUCUCUCGGUUCACUCAAGAGUACCUUUGUUCUGCUGUAGCUCAAAACGUAGAUGCCAGAGCCACGACGCGAGUGCGUCUGCUUCCCGUUAGGAGAACAUGGUUUGAUGAAAGGAGGGUGAUGGAUGCGCCAUGGGGCAAGUCACCUGGAUUGUGUCGUGUUGGGAGGGUGAUGGAUGUGCCAUGGGGCAAGUCCGUCUGAUGAAUGGUGUGGACGGAAGAGCGACAAUAACUAUGAGGUUGGUCAAAGGUUGAAAGAAAUCUCUUAUGUGUCUUCGGUCUCGACACCACGUGUAGGUAGCCGUCAUUGAUAAUACAAACUUUGAAAAGUUUGUUUCAAGGUUCAUAACUCUGUUGUCAAUGGGGAAAAUGUUAUCUGUUUCAAGUGACAAAACAAACUACUCAUAGCAGGUUCAUGUGAUGUGGCGUAUAAAAGGUCGAACGUCAAGACGAUCAGGUGGAUGUAUCCAAAAAUAUGCUUUUGUGGAA
Aegilops tauschii subsp. strangulata is the source of this 1391-nucleotide non-coding RNA. NCBI's taxonomy places the organism in Eukaryota, Viridiplantae, Streptophyta, Magnoliopsida, Poales, Poaceae. The record is from RefSeq and is a predicted model, not a curated record.